Molecule: ribosomal RNA, 778 nt
Filed under: uncultured Neocallimastigales
Lineage: Eukaryota; Fungi; Neocallimastigomycota; Neocallimastigomycetes; Neocallimastigales
Description: partial large subunit ribosomal RNA
Rfam family: Eukaryotic large subunit ribosomal RNA
Source: RNAcentral
CAUCACUACGCUAGAUGCAUAUCAAUAAGCGGAGGAAAAGAAACUAACAAGGAUUCCCCUAGUAACGGCGAGUGAAGCGGGAAGAGCUCAAAUUUGAAAUCUUAAAGGGUUUCCCUUUACGAAUUGUAGUUUAAAGAAGUGUUUUCUGUUGGAGUUUCGGUAAAAGUUCUUUGGAAUAGGACAUCAUAGAGGGUGAGAAUCCCGUAUUUGACCGUUACUUUCCAGCUGUGUGAUACACUUUCAAAGAGUCGGAUUGUUUGGGAAUGCAGUCCAAGAUGGGUGGUAAAUUUCAUCUAAAGCUAAAUAUUGGCGAGAGACCGAUAGCGAACAAGUACCGUGAGGGAAAGAUGAAAAGAACUUUGAAAAGAGAGUUAAACAGUACGUGAAAUUGUCAAAAGGGAAGCGUUUGACACCUGUGUUGUUUAGUUGAAAAUCAGUUCAAUAAUUUUUGAUUUUAAGUAGUAUUGACUUCAUCAGCUUGCUGCUUUCUUUUCGGAAAUUAUUGAAUGCACUUUUCAGUUAACAAGUCAACAUCAAUUUCUUUUGUUGUAAAAGGGUAAGAGGAAGGUGGCUUACGCUUCGGCGUAAGUGUUUAUAGCCUUUUACCUCUGCAAUCGGAGAGAUUGAGGACAGCAGCGUAGACUCCUUCGGGGGUUAGAUACACUUGUGCUAAGCUAUAGCCUUGUAUAGACAACUUGUUGACUAUGCUCAGUCAUGUAGCUUACUCGCUUGAUGCUAUUUUACCUACGCUUAGGAUGUUGACACACGCGCGUGCUCG